UACGGGGGGAGCAAGCGUUGUUCGGAUUUACUGGGCGUAAAGCGCGCGCAGGCGGCCCGCGAGGUGUCACGUGAAAGCCCCGGGCUCAACCCGGGAGGGUCGUGGCAAACCGGCGGGCUUGAGGCCGGUAGAGGUGGGUGGAACUCCUGGUGGAGUGGUGAAAUGCGUAGAGAUCAGGAAGAACACCCGUGGCGAAGGCGGCCCACUGGGCCGGUACUGACGCUGAGGCGCGAAGGCGUGGGGAGCGAACGGG
This 253-nucleotide ribosomal RNA is filed under the name uncultured bacterium. Its description in RNAcentral is "partial 16S ribosomal RNA". It matches the Rfam family "Bacterial small subunit ribosomal RNA", at positions 524 to 776 of the family's 1533-position model. The record is from RNAcentral.